UCCUGGCCGUAAACGAUGGGCACUAGCUUGAGGGACCUUCGGGUUUCUCUUGCGUAGCUAACGCGUUAAGUGCCCCGCCUGGGGAGUAUGCGCGCAAGCGUAAAACUCAAAGGAAUUGACGGGGGCUCACACAAGCGGUGGAGCAUGUGGUUUAAUUCGAAGCUACGCGAAGAACCUUACCCAGGUUUGACAUGGAUGAAUUAGCUCUUGGAAACAAGAGUGACGCCCUUCGG
RNAcentral lists this ribosomal RNA (233 nucleotides) under uncultured bacterium. Its description in RNAcentral is "partial 16S ribosomal RNA". It matches the Rfam family "Bacterial small subunit ribosomal RNA", at positions 794 to 1024 of the family's 1533-position model. The record is from RNAcentral.